This 301-nucleotide ribosomal RNA is filed under the name uncultured bacterium. Its description in RNAcentral is "partial 16S ribosomal RNA". It matches the Rfam family "Bacterial small subunit ribosomal RNA", at positions 509 to 809 of the family's 1533-position model. The record is from RNAcentral.
CAGUCGCCGCGGUAAAACGGAGGGGGCUAGCGUUGUUCGGAAUUACUGGGCGUAAAGCGCACGUAGGCGGCUUGGUAAGUUAGAGGUGAAAGCCCGGAGCUCAACUCCGGAAUUGCCUUUAAGACUGCCGAGCUAGUAGGUGAGAGAGGUAAGUGGAAUUCCGAGUGUAGAGGUGAAAUUCGUAGAUAUUCGGAAGAACACCAGUGGCGAAGGCGGCUUACUGGCUCAUUCUAGACGCUGAGGUGCGAAAGCGUGGGGAGCAAACAGGAUUAGAUACCCCUGUAGUCCCUGUCUCUUAUAA